This 30-nucleotide non-coding RNA is filed under the name Rattus norvegicus (Norway rat). Lineage: Eukaryota; Metazoa; Chordata; Mammalia; Rodentia; Muridae. The record is from RNAcentral.
UAAAUUUCCAGGAUAUCACAGGAGUUUAGA